GCCGCCGUAGCUCAGUGGUAGAGCGGCCGGCUGUUAACCGGCAGGUCGGGGGUUCGAAUCCCCCCGGCGGCG
This 72-nucleotide transfer RNA is filed under the name Candidatus Nanopusillus sp. RNAcentral's name for it is "tRNA-Asn". It matches the Rfam family "tRNA". Rfam says of the family: Transfer RNA (tRNA) molecules are approximately 80 nucleotides in length. Their secondary structure includes four short double-helical elements and three loops (D, anti-codon, and T loops). Further hydrogen bonds mediate the characteristic L-shaped molecular structure. tRNAs have two regions of fundamental functional importance: the anti-codon, which is responsible for specific mRNA codon recognition, and the 3' end, to which the tRNAs corresponding amino acid is attached (by aminoacyl-tRNA synthetases). tRNAs cope with the degeneracy of the genetic code in two manners: having more than one tRNA (with a specific anti-codon) for a particular amino acid; and 'wobble' base-pairing, i.e. permitting non-standard base-pairing at the 3rd anti-codon position. The record is from RNAcentral. Lineage: Archaea; Nanobdellati; Nanobdellota; Candidatus Nanoarchaeia; Nanoarchaeales; Nanopusillaceae.